GACGAACGCUGGCGGCGUGCUUAACACAUGCAAGUCGAACGAAGUGGCGUACGGGUGAGUAACGCGUAAUCAACCUGCACUUCAGAGGGGGUCAACAGUUGGAAACGACUGCUAAUACCGCAUACUGCAGGAGGGGAGUGCGUCUGAUUGGCUAGGUGGUGGGGUCACGGCCCACCAGGGCGGUGAUCAGGCGCCGGGCUGGGGGUAUGAACGGCAAAAUUGGGACUGGAGAACGGCCCAGGAUCCUACGGGGGGCAGCAGGGGGGAAUCUUCCGCAAUGGACGAAAGUCUGACGGAGCAACGCCGCGUGAGUGAUGACGGCCGUCGGGUUGUAAAGCUCUGUUAAUCGGGACGCAGUACCGGAAUAGAAAGCCACGGCUAACUACGUGCCAGCAGCCGCGGUAAUUC
Molecule: ribosomal RNA, 408 nt
Filed under: uncultured bacterium
Lineage: Bacteria
Description: partial 16S ribosomal RNA
Rfam family: Bacterial small subunit ribosomal RNA
Source: RNAcentral